UUGGACUUUCAUCCUCAUCAACAGACGAUUCUCCUUGUUGGAACAAAUGUUGGUGACAUUGGAAUAUGGGAAGUUGGCUCUAGGGAAAGGAUAGCACAUAAACUAUUCAAGGUUUGGGAGAUAUCGGCAUGUUCAGUGCCCUUGCAGGCAGCAUUGGCGAAGGAUGCCACAAUCUCGGUAAAUAGAUGCUUAUGGAGUCCUGACGGAUCAUUUCUUGGUUGCGCAUUCUCAAAACAUCUAGUUCAG
RNAcentral lists this unclassified non-coding RNA (246 nucleotides) under Hevea brasiliensis (rubber tree). Lineage: Eukaryota; Viridiplantae; Streptophyta; Magnoliopsida; Malpighiales; Euphorbiaceae. The record is from RNAcentral.